GGUUAAGCGACUAAGCGUACACGGUGGAUGCCCUGGCAGUCAGAGGCGAUGAAGGACGUGCUAAUCUGCGAUAAGCGUCGGUAAGGUGAUAUGAACCGUUAUAACCGGCGAUUUCCGAAUGGGGAAACCCAGUGUGUUUCGACACACUAUCAUUAACUGAAUCCAUAGGUUAAUGAGGCGAACCGGGGGAACUGAAACAUCUAAGUACCCCGAGGAAAAGAAAUCAACCGAGAUUCCCCCAGUAGCGGCGAGCGAACGGGGAGCAGCCCAGAGCCUGAAUCAGUAUGUGUGUUAGUGGAAGCGUCUGGAAAGGCGCGCGAUACAGGGUGACAGCCCCGUACACAAAAAUGCACAUGCUGUGAGCUCGAUGAGUAGGGCGGGACACGUGGUAUCCUGUCUGAAUAUGGGGGGACCAUCCUCCAAGGCUAAAUACUCCUGACUGACCGAUAGUGAACCAGUACCGUGAGGGAAAGGCGAAAAGAACCCCGGCGAGGGGAGUGAAAAAGAACCUGAAACCGUGUACGUACAAGCAGUGGGAGCACGCUUAGGCGUGUGACUGCGUACCUUUUGUAUAAUGGGUCAGCGACUUAUAUUCUGUAGCAAGGUUAACCGAAUAGGGGAGCCGAAGGGAAACCGAGUCUUAACUGGGCGUUAAGUUGCAGGGUAUAGACCCGAAACCCGGUGAUCUAGCCAUGGGCAGGUUGAAGGUUGGGUAACACUAACUGGAGGACCGAACCGACUAAUGUUGAAAAAUUAGCGGAUGACUUGUGGCUGGGGGUGAAAGGCCAAUCAAACCGGGAGAUAGCUGGUUCUCCCCGAAAGCUAUUUAGGUAGCGCCUCGUGAAUUCAUCUCCGGGGGUAGAGCACUGUUUCGGCAAGGGGGUCAUCCCGACUUACCAACCCGAUGCAAACUGCGAAUACCGGAGAAUGUUAUCACGGGAGACACACGGCGGGUGCUAACGUCCGUCGUGAAGAGGGAAACAACCCAGACCGCCAGCUAAGGUCCCAAAGUCAUGGUUAAGUGGGAAACGAUGUGGGAAGGCCCAGACAGCCAGGAUGUUGGCUUAGAAGCAGCCAUCAUUUAAAGAAAGCGUAAUAGCUCACUGGUCGAGUCGGCCUGCGCGGAAGAUGUAACGGGGCUAAACCAUGCACCGAAGCUGCGGCAGCGACACUAUGUGUUGUUGGGUAGGGGAGCGUUCUGUAAGCCUGUGAAGGUGUGCUGUGAGGCAUGCUGGAGGUAUCAGAAGUGCGAAUGCUGACAUAAGUAACGAUAAAGCGGGUGAAAAGCCCGCUCGCCGGAAGACCAAGGGUUCCUGUCCAACGUUAAUCGGGGCAGGGUGAGUCGACCCCUAAGGCGAGGCCGAAAGGCGUAGUCGAUGGGAAACAGGUUAAUAUUCCUGUACUUGGUGUUACUGCGAAGGGGGGACGGAGAAGGCUAUGUUGGCCGGGCGACGGUUGUCCCGGUUUAAGCGUGUAGGCUGGUUUUCCAGGCAAAUCCGGAAAAUCAAGGCUGAGGCGUGAUGACGAGGCACUACGGUGCUGAAGCAACAAAUGCCCUGCUUCCAGGAAAAGCCUCUAAGCAUCAGGUAACAUCAAAUCGUACCCCAAACCGACACAGGUGGUCAGGUAGAGAAUACCAAGGCGCUUGAGAGAACUCGGGUGAAGGAACUAGGCAAAAUGGUGCCGUAACUUCGGGAGAAGGCACGCUGAUAUGUAGGUGAAGUCCCUCGCGGAUGGAGCUGAAAUCAGUCGAAGAUACCAGCUGGCUGCAACUGUUUAUUAAAAACACAGCACUGUGCAAACACGAAAGUGGACGUAUACGGUGUGACGCCUGCCCGGUGCCGGAAGGUUAAUUGAUGGGGU
Molecule: ribosomal RNA, 1863 nt
Filed under: Escherichia coli
Lineage: Bacteria; Pseudomonadati; Pseudomonadota; Gammaproteobacteria; Enterobacterales; Enterobacteriaceae
Description: partial 23S ribosomal RNA
Rfam family: Bacterial large subunit ribosomal RNA
Source: RNAcentral